UAGGGAAUAUUGGACAAUGGGGGCAACCCUGAUCCAGCCAUGCCGCGUGAAGGAAGACGGUUCUCUGAAUUGUAAACUUCUUUUAGCAGGGGAUAAGUCGGCGCUACACGCGCCGUUGAAGGUACCUGCAGAAUAAGCACCGGCUAACUCCGUGCCAGCAGCCGCGGUAAUACGGAGGGUGCAAGCGUUGUCCGGAUUCAUUGGGUUUAAAGGGUGCGUAGGCGGAUUUGUAAGUCAGUGGUGAAAUCCUGCGGCUUAACCGUAGAACUGCCAUUGAUACUGCAGAUCUUGAGUGCACGUGAGGUGCUUGGAAUGCGUAGUGUAGCGGUGAAAUGCAUAGAUAUUACGCAGAACACCAAUUGCGAAGGCAGAGCACUGGCGUGAAACUGACGCUGAGGCACGAAAGCGUGGGGAGCGAACAGGAUUAGAUACCCCCGUAGUCC
Molecule: ribosomal RNA, 443 nt
Filed under: uncultured prokaryote
Description: bacterial SSU rRNA
Rfam family: Bacterial small subunit ribosomal RNA
Source: RNAcentral